RNAcentral lists this long non-coding RNA (244 nucleotides) under Helianthus annuus (common sunflower). RNAcentral describes it as "sRNA HanXRQr2_Chr14g0648981". The record is from RNAcentral. Lineage: Eukaryota; Viridiplantae; Streptophyta; Magnoliopsida; Asterales; Asteraceae.
AUGUGUAUUCUAAUUUUUGCUCUGGUUUUAAGGCGCUGUACACAUGUGUAUUCUGAUUUUGCUCUGUUUUUAAGGCGCUCGUCUGUUUUUGUGAUAUCUCAUAUUUUUUUUGUGUAUUGAAUGUGUAAAGUUGUUGAUGUACACUUGUGAAUUAUGCAAAGUACUAAUUGCUGAGUUUUUUGUGUUAUUAUAGGAGACGUCGUAAACGAGGAAAGUGGAGAUGGAAGGUCGAUAAGGAUGAUUC